RNAcentral lists this ribosomal RNA (628 nucleotides) under uncultured bacterium. RNAcentral describes it as "bacterial SSU rRNA". It matches the Rfam family "Bacterial small subunit ribosomal RNA", at positions 56 to 731 of the family's 1533-position model. The record is from RNAcentral.
UGCAGUCGAGCGAGAUCUUCGGAUCUAGCGGCGGACGGGUUAGUAACGCGUGGGAACGUACCCAAAGGUAGGGAAUAGCCACUGGAAACGGUGAGUAAUACCCUAUGUGCCCUUCGGGGGAAAGAUUUAUCGCCUUUGGAUCGGCCCGCGUUAGAUUAGAUAGUUGGUGGGGUAACGGCCUACCAAGUCUACGAUCUAUAGCUGGUUUUAGAGGAUGAUCAGCAACACUGGGACUGAGGCACGGCCCAGACUCCUACGGGAGGCAGCAGUGGGGAAUCUUGGACAAUGGGGGCAACCCUGAUCCAGCCAUGCCGCGUGAGUGAUGAAGGCCCUAGGGUCGUAAAGCUCUUUCGCCUGUGAAGAUAAUGACUGUAGCAGGUAAAGAAACCCCGGCUAACUCCGUGCCAGCAGCCGCGGUAAUACGGAGGGGGUUAGCGUUGUUCGGAAUUACUGGGCGUAAAGCGCGCGUAGGCGGACUGGAAAGUUGGGGGUGAAAUCCCAGGGCUCAACCCUGGAACUGCCUCCAAAACUAUCAGUCUAGAGUUCGAGAGAGGUGAGUGGAAUUCCGAGUGUAGAGGUGAAAUUCGUAGAUAUUCGGAGGAACACCAGUGGCGAAGGCGGCUCACUG